Molecule: long non-coding RNA, 1520 nt
Filed under: Sus scrofa (pig)
Lineage: Eukaryota; Metazoa; Chordata; Mammalia; Artiodactyla; Suidae
Description: lncRNA (ENSSSCG00050006299.1)
Source: RNAcentral
ACUGCGUCCUGAGCCCUACCCCUUGACCAGCCACUUAGUUUGCUCUGGAAUUCCCGUUCUCCUGAAGGGGAGAGGAGAGCCUCGCGGAAGGUCCCACGCACCCCUCAACCUGGGGUCUAGACCAGGCGGUCCCAAAGCUUCUGCGAACAGCUGUGCCCAGCAUGAGGAGGAGUGCAGGUCACCGACGGGCUAGAAUGACGUGCAGUACUAGGAAAAAGAACUGGAACAAAUAAUCCUAAAAUUUGUAUGGAACUUCAAAAGACUGAGUUGCCCAAGCAAUCUUGAGAAAAAAGAACAAAGCUGGAGAUAUGCUCCCCAAUUUCUCAAUAUGCAAUGCUACAGUCAUCAAAACGGCACUGUGUAGCUGUACAUGAACAUCUCUGCAAUUGAUCGACUGAUGAUACUUCUGUCUUACAUGAGAUCACUAAGUUACCAUGGAGUCACUCUGUGAAGAAGCCCUCUCCUUUGGGAAGAUGCCCACCCAGCAGGGAGACCUCAUGGACCAGUUCACAAUUUGUUUUCAGACAUAUUAACCCCACAAAUACAACAUAUCAUAUUAUGCCUUGUACUACCAGAGCAGUAGCCCCACCAGGGAUCACCAGAGCAGUUACCCUAGCCCCAGGUGUAUACUCCCAGCUCUGUGUUCACUGGAUACUUGUUCCCUAGAAUUUCUAAAGUACAUACAAUAAACUGUUUUCAGGAAAAAUAUUCCUGUGCCUGAGCCCCAUUAGAGAUGUUGCUAUGGUUGGGUGGCUGAGCUUGCCCAGACUAGGAUGCAAUUUUCAUGUCCACGGCUUUGAGUCCAGCUUUCAGCUCACAACUGGAGGGUGACUUGAAUGCCGCUUGGAGAUACACAAAGAUUUCUUGCUCAAGCCUGAAAUUGGAGUGUCCUUCCUCUCCUGGCUCUGCCCCCUCUUACCCUCCAGCAUCCUCCUACUUCUCCUCUAUCUUAAUCCCAGGGAUCCUCCAGCAUCUGAGCAAUACAGUGGGUGAAUGUGUGUGUAGGAACUUUGGCCAUCUCCUCCUGUGGGGCACGGUAGGCCCAGGUGAGGUCAGGAGGUAAAGCAUUGAUAAACUCAUUAAGUCCUAAAUUUUUAAAAAGACAAAAACAAAUAAAAUAGAGCUGAAACUAGAGCAGUAAGCCAACAGAGUUACCUACUCUAGAGUUGACCUGGGGUAGGGGUAUGACUAUUCCACCAUCCUGUCAGAAACAGAAGCUUCUUUUAGUUCCUUUGUGUCUCAUCUCAUUCAACCUGCUGCAUGAAUAUGAAAGUGCAAUCAAUGCAUUCAUAAGAUUUUAUCAUUAUUAUUAUCAACAAAGAGCUUUAUAAAUAUAUUUCUCUUCAAGGACAUCAUUCUAUUGUAUUAGGACUUCAUGUUUCUUGCAUGCCUAGUAUAGAAGUUCUAGCAGCUGCCUGGAAUUAUUUUUUUUCUUGUGGAUAAAUAAGGCCAUCUGAGUAAAUAUGUAAUUAGGACCAUAAUGGCACAUUUUGACUGCUUUUAAUAAAUAACACCAACCA